AGGCCCAGGCCUGAGCCUCACAUGUGGCCCCGGGGAAGGCAUCAGGGACUCCCUUUGCCCUCCCACUGACCUCCCUGCAAACCUCCCCCAAACCAAGGGGCAUCCUCAGCUGGCCAGACCCUGGGGGAAGGGAGAGAGCCGAGGAUCACCGGCACCUGUGGCUGGGUUACCCCUGCCAUGGACCACUGGGUGAUCAAGAAGUCAUUCCAAAAUGUGAAGCGUUCUGAAGAUAUGCACAUAGCGUAAGAACCUGGUGUAAUGUGCUGGUCAAGGCGGUCUCAGAGAGGAGAUGACGUUUGAGCUGACACCUGAGGGAUGAGAAGAAAGCAGCCAUUCCCAGGGCCCAGGGGAGGCAUCCCAGGAAGCCGGAUCAGCAUGAGCAAAAGCCCUGAGGCCUGGCACAAGUUGGUCUGCUUGAGAAGCAGGAGAGAGCCCUGAGCAUCCGGAGUGCAGCAAGCGAGAUGAGCAAGUCAAGAUGCAGAAGGACUCUCUGGCUUGUCCAAGGUCACACGGCUGUUAGGAGCAGAGCAGCGUCCUGGUGCCCAAGCCCUGAGGUCCCCAGCACACUGCCUCUGCAAUGGCCACAACUGUCCAAAGACUAAGCUGACUCUCACACCUGGUAGUGUCUGUGGUCAUUCACUGUGGAUGGAAGUGGAGAAAUGCAGAAAACAGAAACACAGCUUCCCCUUUUCUGUCAUAUUUCUGUAUCGUUGGUGUUUGGAGCCAGUUGAGCACAAAGGGCCCCUGAGUGCUGUUUCCUUGUGAUAUUUGGGGGUUAACAGCUUCCCCUCAUCUCUUAAUUACCUGCCCUCCUUCACUUCAGCUGCACAUUCGUUAAAGAAUGCUCUCCCAGGAGAAGAGCUUGGUGUUAUCACCCACAAACAUCUUAGAAAACUAAUGCUAUCCUUGAGUGCCUGUUUACAGAAACAUUUUUACAUCUCACUUGACAUUUCCAGCAAAUCUUGAUCCUUCCAGCCAGGAAUAUUAAUAUAUAGGUCUUGAAAAGUGCAAGAGGCUCUUCCAUGGCUCCAAGCACAUUUGACACUCUUCCUUUUCUGAUCCCCAAGCAGACAGUGAUGAAACCCCAAUAGCUGGGCGAAUACUCAUCCAACAGGAAGAAUCAGUUUUAAGAGCUGGGUUCUCAGGGUCAAAUACUGUGGUGUGGCCUUUUGGUUGUAAUGAGUUGAAUGGAGGUCUCAAAAAAGAUAUAUCCAUGUUCUAAUCCCCAGAACUUGUGAAUGUGACCUUAUUUGGAAAAAGAGUCCUUUUGGAUGUAAUUAAGUUAAGGAUUUUGAGAUAAGGAGAUCAUCCUGGGUUAUCUGGGUGGACCCUAAAUCUGUUGACAAUGUCCUUAUGAGAGACCCCAGAGGGCACAGACAGGAAAGGAAGAGGCAAUGUGGCCCCAGAGGCUGAGAUCAGAGCUCUGUGGCCACAAUUCGAGGAACACCUGGAGCCACCAGAAGCUGGAGGAGGCAAGGAACAGAUUCUCCCUGAUCCUCUGGAUACAGAGGGAGAAUAGCCUGGCCGACACCUUGAUUUUGGACUUCUGGCCCCCAGAACUGAGAAAAUUAACUUCUGUUGUGUUAAGCAGCCACGUUUGUAGCAGUUCAUCAUAGCAGCCCUGGGAAAGAAAUACAGUGGGCUUCCAGUUCAAGGAGGAUCCACGAGGCCUGAGCUCCAUCUGUCGAUUGGAAUCACCAAAAUCAAGGUUGUGUGCGGGUAACGCCAGCACAAGCAGCUCAUGCUGGCAAAAGCAGACCAAACCGGCUCACGCAACGUCAAGUCAUCUUGAAGUGGUUCACGCACCACAGUGAGUGGUAUUGAUUGUGGUUAAGAGCCAGGUUCAAGGAGGUUUAUCACUCAGUAGCCAGGUAAAGCAGGUUCCAGGCCUGGCUCCACCACUCAACAACCGGGGAAACAGGGGAGCAGACCUGCAGAGGGGCCAGAAGACACCUGGCCGGGUGGGGAGCAGCCCCUCCGUAAUAACAAUCGGAACCUGGGAAGGCGGCAAAACUGAAUCCCAGAGAGAAGACUCACUCAGACACAGCUAUCUGAACACUCUUUUCCAGUUCCCCUAGGGCAGCAGAGGAAGCAAGGUGGGGGGAAGCCAGUGGUCAAGGAUUCCAUGCGGAAUGUACCCUAGAAUUAACCCAUGGAGAGAGGGGGUCUCGCUCUGUUGCCCAGGCUGUAGUACAAUGGUGCAAUCUCGGCUCACUGCAACCUCUGCCUCUGGGUUCAAGCGAUCCUUUGCCUCCGCCUCCUGAGUAGCUGGAAUUACAGGCAUGCACCAUGAUGCUUGGUUAAUUUUUGUAUUUUUAGUAGAGUCAGGGUUUUGCUAUGUUGGCCAGGCUGGGCUCCAACUUCUGGUCUCAAGUGAUCCACCCGCCUCGGGCUCCCAAAGUGCCAGGAUUACAGGCGUGAGCCACUAUGCCUGGCCAAAAGUGGCGAUGUGUUCUUAAUGCCCAUUUUCACAUAAAAGAGAUGGGGUUUGCCAUGUUGCCUAGGCUGGUCUCGAAUUCUGGGAUUAAGCGAUCCUCCUGCCUUGGCUGGGAUUACAGGCAUGGACCACUGCAUCUGGCCAACUCUACUCUCUACUUGAUUUUGCUGUGAACCUA
Molecule: long non-coding RNA, 2615 nt
Filed under: Homo sapiens (human)
Lineage: Eukaryota; Metazoa; Chordata; Mammalia; Primates; Hominidae
Description: HSALNT0291193
Source: RNAcentral